Molecule: ribosomal RNA, 468 nt
Filed under: uncultured bacterium
Lineage: Bacteria
Description: partial 16S ribosomal RNA
Rfam family: Bacterial small subunit ribosomal RNA
Source: RNAcentral
GACGAACGCUGGCGGCGUGCUUAACACAUGCAAGUCGAACGGUGAAGCUCCAGCUUGCUGGAGUGGAUCAGUGGCGAACGGGUGAGUAACACGUGAGCAACCUGCCCCUGACUCUGGAAUAAGCGCUGGAAACGGCGUCUAAUACUGGAUACGAGAAGGGUCCGCAUGGGCACUUUCUGGAAAGUUUUUCGGUUGGGGAUGGGCUCGCGGCCUAUCAGCUUGUUGGUGAGGUAAUGGCUCACCAAGGCGACGACGGGUAGCCGGCCUGAGAGGGCGACCGGCCACACUGGGACUGAGACACGGCCCAGACUCCUACGGGAGGCAGCAGUGGGGAAUAUUGCACAAUGGGCGAAAGCCUGAUGCAGCGACGCCGCGUGAGGGAUGACGGUCUUCGGGUUGUAAACCUCUUUCAGCAGGGAAGAAGCGAAAGUGACGGUACCUGCAGAAGAAGCACCGGCUAACUACGUG